Molecule: ribosomal RNA, 253 nt
Filed under: uncultured bacterium
Lineage: Bacteria
Description: partial 16S ribosomal RNA
Rfam family: Bacterial small subunit ribosomal RNA
Source: RNAcentral
UACGUAGGGGGCUAGCGUUGUCCGGAUUUAUUGGGCGUAAAGAGCGCGUAGGCGGCCGUGUAAGUCCGACGUGAAAUCUGGAGGCUCAACCUCCAGCGGUCGUUGGAAACUACCCGGCUAGAGUCCGGAAGAGGAGAGUGGAAUUCCUGGUGUAGCGGUGAAAUGCGCAGAUAUCAGGAAGAACACCGAUGGCGAAAGCAGCUCUCUGGGACGGUACUGACGCUGAGGCGCGAAAGCCAGGGGAGCAAACGGG